UUUAUAUUCUGUUAGAUCAUUAGUUUGAAUGAAUCAAAUUUAUAGUACAUCCAAAAUGUGUUAUUAAGUUGAAGUUAAUUGUGGUUAACUCGUAGCUAUUGUUAAUUGUUUCCAGCUAAUUUGUUAAGGAUAUAUAAUUUUAAAACACUAGAGAUAGAAAAAGCGAACAGAAGGAGUUAGCGACUAGGAAUGGAAGCAUAAGAUCUGAAGGGCCUUGCCUCUAGGUGGAUGUGCUUUGCAUGCAAGUAUUUCGGUUUUGUGGGUAAUUGCAAUUUCAAUUACUUAUAGUGGGUCAAAGCCUGUAUUAAGACAGGAGGAGAAGACUCCAAGAAGAAGAUGAUCGAUAUAUUAGGAGACUGAGAAAAAUUUAUUAGGUUGCAUCCUGUAUUUAGAUGCUUGAUGGACGAUGUAUAAAUAAGCUAUCCUAUAGUAUGUUGGCUAUAAUUGUGCUUUUGGAUAUCCCAGACCAGAUUUUCUGUUGAUGUGUUCUUAAAUGAAUUCAUGAUUCCAAGUUCUGGUCCAAACUCUUAGUUGUGUGGUUGUCCUACUGAUGGUAGGAGGUAGGAAACAAAUAUAAGAAAGUUAAUUUGAAAGGGAAUUUAAAAAAAAACCAUAAGGUUCUUUUGACCUCAGAUGAUAAUUAAUAUUGCCUUAUCUUAAUACUGUCGAAUGAACAAAAAAUAGCUUUAAUACGCUGGAUCAUGAUAUAUAACUUCAAACCCUCCCAUAAGUCAGUCAUGGCAUGAUUUUAUGUAGUUUUUAAACCAC
Populus euphratica (Euphrates poplar) is the source of this 768-nucleotide long non-coding RNA. RefSeq lists it as uncharacterized. The record is from RefSeq and is a predicted model, not a curated record. The transcript is spliced from 2 exons. Lineage: Eukaryota; Viridiplantae; Streptophyta; Magnoliopsida; Malpighiales; Salicaceae.